This 2853-nucleotide unclassified non-coding RNA is filed under the name Hevea brasiliensis (rubber tree). The record is from RNAcentral. Lineage: Eukaryota; Viridiplantae; Streptophyta; Magnoliopsida; Malpighiales; Euphorbiaceae.
GUUCCUUUCCCCGCCAGUGUCUCCUCUCCAUCGCAUUCCAUCUGUUUGGUUCCCCAUAAACUGGGGGAAAUUUUGCCGGCAGGAUUCGGGAGAAAGGAAAAAACAAUGAAUAAAAGGAACCGAAUAGAAAUAGAAAAAAGCAUCCUAAUUCCUAGUUUUUCUACGCCGCUUGAAAGAAUACUUCUCUACUUCAUUCCGAGAUAUAAACGGUGAAAACCUCUCAUUUCUACACUGUAAACUUGAAGAAGAAGUUAGAAUUUAUUCUCCGAGAUAGAAUUUAAAAUGGCGGUUUCGUCCAUUCGGCUCGUACGCUGCUUGAGGCCUCGCAAUGUGGCCUUUAAUGUGAUUGUGAAUUCGUCUGUAUCACAUACCCAAUCCUUUGUAGCUUCCAUGAGUAGAUUUCGGGGCUCCUCAUCCGAGUAUAAUUUGUGCUGUUUUAGUGGUGGUAUCGUGUCGUUUAGUGCUCUUCGGGCUCGAAAUUUUGCUAAGGUGAGAGACAGAGGACUGAGAACUGAGGAUGAUCAUAUUCUUGGUGAUUCUAUGGAUGAUAUUGAAGACGAGCAGGAUGCAGACAUACGUCCUCAGGUGCAAGAGCGUGAUUUUACUGGCACAGCUUAUGUUCCUGUAUACGUGAUGUUACCUGUUAGUUUACUCUUUCUGUUAUUGUUCUUUCAUUGUGUUUUAUUGGAUACAUUUUCAUCUUAAGUUGGAUAUCUUCCAUAUCAACUCAGUUUGUCCUUAAAGAAAUUUGGAACCUUAAAAUUCAAGUAAUUCAGUUUUGUUUUUAUUGGUUGAAUACCAAUUUUCAGAGGAUACCACUUGCUUAUCAAUUGCUAAUAUAUAAUUUUACAAGUUGUUCUUGUGUCUUAAUAACAUAUUUUGGAGGAUGGGUGGGUGGAAAAUGGCAUGGCAGCUGGGUGUCAUCAACAUGAAUUGUGAGUUGGUUGAUCCUGAAGGUCUUCGAAAUGAGUUAAAGAUCUUGAAAUCAGCUAAUGUUGAUGGCGUUAUGGUUGAUUGCUGGUGGGGAAUAGUAGAGGGUAAUGCUCCGCAGGUAUAUAACUGGAGUGGGUACAAGAAACUCUUUCAGAUUGUGCGUGAACAUAAGCUCAAAUUGCAGGUUGUUAUGUCAUUUCAUAAAUGUGGAGGCAAUGUUGGUGAUAAUGUACAUAUUCCACUCCCUGAAUGGGUGACAGAAAUUGGUCAGACCAAUCCUGACAUAUAUUUUACAGAUAGAAAAGGAAGACGGAAUACUGAAUGCCUCACAUGGGGAAUUGAUAAAGAACGGGUUUUGAAAGGCAGGACUGCUGUUGAGGCUUACUUUGACUAUAUGAGAAGCUUUCGAGUAGAAUUUGAUGAGUUUUUUGAGGGUGGAAUCAUCUCUGAGAUUGAAGUUGGAUUAGGUCCAUGUGGAGAGUUACGUUAUCCCUCAUAUCCUGCAGAGAAUGGGUGGAAAUAUCCUGGUAUUGGUGAAUUCCAGGUAUCUUUUGAUUAACUGGUAAAUAAAUUGGCUUUCAUCAUUGCAAUUGUAGAGAUGUUUGAUAAUUGAUAUUACAUAAAAAAUGAUGGCCGUUGUCCCAUAUUUAGUUGCUUCAGGUAAUCUAAUAGAUAUGGUUUUGUCUUGCCAUCUCCUUUUUCUUAAUAAUUUUUGUUACAACCAUUGCAUUUUUCUAUGAAUUGAUGCAACACUUUUCAGCUCAGUGUUAUGAUAAGUACUUGAUGAAGAGUCUGAGCAAAGCUGCAGAAGUGAGAGGACACUCAUUUUGGGCUAAAGGUCCAGAUAAUGCAAGUUCUUAUAAUUCUGCACCACAUGAGACAAGGUUUUUCUGUGAUGGAGGUGAUUAUGAUAGCUACUAUGGUAGAUUCUUUCUGAAUUGGUAUUCUCGAGUUUUAAUUGAUCAUGGUGAUCGUGUACUUGCUCUGGCCAAUUUAGCUUUUGAAGGCACUUGCAUUUCUGCAAAGAUAUCAGGUAUUCAUUGGUGGUACAAAACAGCUAGUCAUGCUGCUGAAUUGACUGCUGGGUUCUACAACCCUUCAAAUCGUGAUGGCUAUGCUCCAGUUGCAGCAAUGUUGAGUAAGCAUGGUGUUGGUCUCAACUUCACAUGUGUUGAAAUGCGCACAUUGGAUCAGCAUGAGGACUUUCCAGAGGCACUGGCAGAUCCUGAGGGAUUAGUUUGGCAGGUACUGAAUGCCGCGUGGGAUGCUUGCAUACCAGUUGCCAGUGAGAAUGCUCUUCCUUGCUAUGACAGAGAGGGUUAUAACAAGAUAUUAGAAAAUGCCAAACCACAGCAUGAUCCAGAUGGCAGGCAUUUAUCAGCUUUUACCUAUCUCAGGCUCAGCCCUGUUCUCAUGGAGAGGGAAAAUUUUACUGAGUUUGAAAGAUUUGUCAAGAGAAUGCAUGGGGAAGCAGUCGGAGAAUUCAAUCUAAAUUGAAUGGAAGUCAUUGCAAAACCCCCAUUGAUGGAUGGAUGCAGGGGUUGCUGCCUGUGGCUAAACAUCCCUAAUAAGAUAUUGUUAAAUUUUGCUCUUUUUUGUCUGUAAAUCCAGUGUAAUGUGACACUGAAGUAAUACAGUUCAAUGUAAUGAGGCAGUUACUCACAAUAUACAUGCUGAUUAUGGUCGUUUCUUUCUUGAUGGAUAUAAAGAAGAAGAGGUUGAGUAAUAGGAUUCAAGAGAAAAAGAGAGAAAUCUAGAGACGAGAGAGUUCAGAGAAGAAAUUAGAAAGAAAGGGAAGAAGCCAUAGGAGAAGAAAUCAGUGAGAAAUGCUGUUCAUUCUAUAUCAGAAAUGCUAUUCAUUGUAUUAUAUUUUAAACUCAAAUUUACCUCAAAUAUAAUUAUAUCAUAUUUAAAUCUGGC